This 444-nucleotide ribosomal RNA is filed under the name Pseudomonas sp. ISTPY2. RNAcentral's name for it is "bacterial SSU rRNA". It matches the Rfam family "Bacterial small subunit ribosomal RNA", at positions 56 to 496 of the family's 1533-position model. Lineage: Bacteria; Pseudomonadati; Pseudomonadota; Gammaproteobacteria; Pseudomonadales; Pseudomonadaceae. The record is from RNAcentral.
UGCAGUCGAGCGGAUGAGGGGAGCUUGCUCUCUGAUUCAGCGGCGGACGGGUGAGUAAUGCCUAGGAAUCUGCCUGGUAGUGGGGGACAACGUUUCGAAAGGAACGCUAAUACCGCAUACGUCCUACGGGAGAAAGCAGGGGACCUUCGGGCCUUGCGCUAUCAGAUGAGCCUAGGUCGGAUUAGCUAGUUGGUGAGGUAAUGGCUCACCAAGGCUGCGAUCCGUAACUGGUCUGAGAGGAUGAUCAGUCACACUGGAACUGAGACACGGUCCAGACUCCUACGGGAGGCAGCAGUGGGGAAUAUUGGACAAUGGGCGAAAGCCUGAUCCAGCCAUGCCGCGUGUGUGAAGAAGGUCUUCGGAUUGUAAAGCACUUUAAGUUGGGAGGAAGGGCAGUAAGUUAAUACCUUGCUGUUUUGACGUUACCGACAGAAUAAACACCGG